CCUACGGGUGGCUGCAGUGGGGAAUAUUGCACAAUGGGCGCAAGCCUGAUGCAGCCAUGCCGCGUGUGUGAAGAAGGCCUUCGGGUUGUAAAGCACUUUCAGCGGGGAGGAAGGCGUUAAGGUUAAUAACCUUGGCGAUUGACGUUACCCGCAGAAGAAGCACCGGCUAACUCCGUGCCAGCAGCCGCGGUAGUACGGAGGGUGCAAGCGUUAAUCGGAAUUACUGGGCGUAAAGCGCACGCAGGCGGUCUGUCAAGUCGGAUGUGAAAUCCCCGGGCUCAACCUGGGAACUGCAUUCGAAACUGGCAGGCUAGAGUCUUGUAGAGGGGGGUAGAAUUCCAGGUGUAGCGGUGAAAUGCGUAGAGAUCUGGAGGAAUACCAGUGGCGAAGGCGGCCCCCUGGACAAAGACUGACGCUCAGGUGCGAAAGCGUGGGGAGCAAACAGGAUUAGAUACCCUUGUAGUC
Molecule: ribosomal RNA, 465 nt
Filed under: uncultured Klebsiella sp.
Lineage: Bacteria; Pseudomonadati; Pseudomonadota; Gammaproteobacteria; Enterobacterales; Enterobacteriaceae
Description: bacterial SSU rRNA
Rfam family: Bacterial small subunit ribosomal RNA
Source: RNAcentral